UAACACUAACUGGAGGACCGAACCGACUAAUGUUGAAAAAUUAGCGGAUGACUUGUGGCUGGGGGUGAAAGGCCAAUCAAACCGGGAGAUAGCUGGUUCUCCCCGAAAGCUAUUUAGGUAGCGCCUCGUGAAUUCAUCUCCGGGGGUAGAGCACUGUUUCGGCAAGGGGGUCAUCCCGACUUACCAACCCGAUGCAAACUGCGAAUACCGGAGAAUGUUAUCACGGGAGACACACGGCGGGUGCUAACGUCCGUCGUGAAGAGGGAAACAACCCAGACCGCCAGCUAAGGUCCCAAAGUCAUGGUUAAGUGGGAAACGAUGUGGGAAGGCCCAGACAGCCAGGAUGUUGGCUUAGAAGCAGCCAUCAUUUAAAGAAAGCGUAAUAGCUCACUGGUCGAGUCGGCCUGCGCGGAAGAUGUAACGGGGCUAAACCAUGCACCGAAGCUGCGGCAGCGACGCUUAUGCGUUGUUGGGUAGGGGAGCGUUCUGUAAGCCUGUGAAGGUGGCCUGUGAGGGUUGCUGGAGGUAUCAGAAGUGCGAAUGCUGACAUAAGUAACGAUAAAGCGGGUGAAAAGCCCGCUCGCCGGAAGACCAAGGGUUCCUGUCCAACGUUAAUCGGGGCAGGGUGAGUCGACCCCUAAGGCGAGGCCGAAAGGCGUAGUCGAUGGGAAACAGGUUAAUAUUCCUGUACUUGGUGUUACUGCGAAGGGGGGACGGAGAAGGCUAUGUUGGCCGGGCGACGGUUGUCCCGGUUUAAGCGUGUAGGCUGGUUUUCCAGGCAAAUCCGGAAAAUCAAGGCUGAGGCGUGAUGACGAGGCACUACGGUGCUGAAGCGACAAAUGCCCUGCUUCCAGGAAAAGCCUCUAAGCAUCAGGUAACAUUAAAUCGUACCCCAAACCGACACAGGUGGUCAGGUAGAGAAUACCAAGGCGCUUGAGAGAACUCGGGUGAAGGAACUAGGCAAAAUGGUGCCGUAACUUCGGGAGAAGGCACGCUGAUAUGUAGGUGAAGCGACUUGCUCGUGGAGCUGAAAUCAGUCGAAGAUACCAGCUGGCUGCAACUGUUUAUUAAAAACACAGCACUGUGCAAACACGAAAGUGGACGUAUACGGUGUGACGCCUGCCCGGUGCCGGAAGGUUAAUUGAUGGGGUUAGCGGUAACGCGAAGCUCUUGAUCGAAGCCCCGGUAAACGGCGGCCGUAACUAUAACGGUCCUAAGGUAGCGAAAUUCCUUGUCGGGUAAGUUCCGACCUGCACGAAUGGCGUAAUGAUGGCCAGGCUGUCUCCACCCGAGACUCAGUGAAAUUGAACUCGCUGUGAAGAUGCAGUGUACCCGCGGCAAGACGGAAAGACCCCGUGAACCUUUACUAUAGCUUGACACUGAACAUUGAGCCUUGAUGUGUAGGAUAGGUGGGAGGCUUUGAAGUGUGGACGCCAGUCUGCAUGGAGCCGACCUUGAAAUACCACCCUUUAAUGUUUGAUGUUCUAACGUGGGCCCCUUACCGGGGUUGCGGACAGUGUCUGGUGGGUAGUUUGACUGGGGCGGUCUCCUCCUAAAGAGUAACGGAGGAGCACGAAGGUUGGCUAAUCCUGGUCGGACAUCAGGAGGUUAGUGCAAUGGCAUAAGCCAGCUUGACUGCGAGCGUGACGGCGCGAGCAGGUGCGAAAGCAGGUCAUAGUGAUCCGGUGGUUCUGAAUGGAAGGGCCAUCGCUCAACGGAUAAAAGGUACUCCGGGGAUAACAGGCUGAUACCGCCCAAGAGUUCAUAUCGACGGCGGUGUUUGGCACCUCGAUGUCGGCUCAUCACAUCCUGGGGCUGAAGUAGGUCCCAAGGGUAUGGCUGUUCGCCAUUUAAAGUGGUACGCGAGCUGGGUUUAGAACGUCGUGAGACAGUUCGGUCCCUAUCUGCCGUGGGCGCUGGAGAACUGAGGGGGGCUGCUCCUAGUACGAGAGGACCGGAGUGGACGCAUCACUGGUGUUCGGGUUGUCAUGCCAAUGGCACUGCCCGGUAGCUAAAUGCGGAAGAGAUAAGUGCUGAAAGCAUCUAAGCACGAAACUUGCCCCGAGAUGAGUUCUCCCUGACUCCUUGAGAGUCCUGAAGGAACGUUGAAGACGACGACGUUGAUAGGCCGGGUGUGUAAGCGCAGCGAUGCGUUGAGCUAACCGGUA
Molecule: ribosomal RNA, 2168 nt
Filed under: Escherichia coli
Lineage: Bacteria; Pseudomonadati; Pseudomonadota; Gammaproteobacteria; Enterobacterales; Enterobacteriaceae
Description: partial 23S ribosomal RNA
Rfam family: Bacterial large subunit ribosomal RNA
Source: RNAcentral